Molecule: long non-coding RNA, 232 nt
Organism: Rhipicephalus microplus (southern cattle tick)
Lineage: Eukaryota; Metazoa; Arthropoda; Arachnida; Ixodida; Ixodidae
Source: RefSeq, a predicted model, not a curated record
UGAGCUCGUCGAAAGAGAAAGUAGAAAAAGAGAUGAAAGGCCUUGUGUUUGACAUAAUCAUCAUCAUUUUGUGGCAAGAUCCUGCUAUAAGCAAUGGUAACAUUUUGAUGCAAAGAAUAAGAGCCGACUUACAAGGUGGUGGAGGGCCAGGUGAAAGGUUUCUCGAUUCCUUUAGACGAAGAAUUAAUACCGGCGUUGGUCUCUCUGAUCCUGGUUUUGCGAGCAGGCGACU